GCACCAUUAGUACAGCGGUUAGUAUUCUAGGUUCCCAACCUAGUGAUGCGGGUUCAAUUCCCGCAUGGUGCA
Molecule: transfer RNA, 72 nt
Filed under: Promethearchaeota archaeon
Lineage: Archaea; Promethearchaeati; Promethearchaeota
Description: Candidatus Lokiarchaeota archaeon (microbial mat metagenome) tRNA-Gly
Rfam family: tRNA
About the family: Transfer RNA (tRNA) molecules are approximately 80 nucleotides in length.
Source: RNAcentral